CGUGNCCAGCAGCCGCGGUAAUACGUAGGGUCCGAGCGUNNUCNNNANNUACUGGGCGUAAAGAGNUCGUAGGUGGUUUGUCGCGUUGUUCGUGAAAACUCACAGCUUAACUGUGGGCGUGCGGGCGAUACGGGCAGACUGGAGUACUGCAGGGGAGACUGGAAUUCNUGGUGUAGCGGUGGAAUGCGCAGAUAUCAGGAGGAACACCGGUGGCGAAGGCGGGUCUCUGGGCAGUAACUGACGCUGAGGAGCGAAAGCGUGGGGAGCGAACAGGAUUAGAUACCCUGGUAGUCCACGCCGUAAACGGUGGGUACUAGGUGUGGGUUUCCUUCCUUGGGAUCCGUGCCGUAGCUAACGCAUUAAGUACCCCGCCUGGGGAGUACGGCCGCAAGGCUAAAACUCAAAGGAAUUGACGGGGGCCCGCACAAGCGGCGGAGCAUGUGGAUUAAUUCGAUGCAACGCGAAGAACCUUACCUGGGUUUGACAUGCACAGGACGCCNGUAGAGAUAUCNGUUCCCUUGUGGCCUGUGUGCAGGUGGUGCAUGGCUGUNNUCAGCUCGUGUCGUGAGAUGUUGGGUUAAGUCCCGCAACGAGCGCAACCCUUGUCCUAUGUUGCCAGCGGGUUAUGCCGGGGACUCGUAGGAGACUGCCGGGGUCAACUCGGAGGAAGGUGGGGAUGACGUCAAGUCAUCAUGCCCCUUAUGUCCAGGGCUUCACACAUGCUACAAUGGCCGGUACAAAGGGCUGCGAUGCCGUGAGGUGGAGCGAAUCCUUGUAAAGCCGGUCUCAGUUCGGAUCGGGGUCUGCAACUCGACCCCGUGAAGUCGGAGUCGCUAGUAAUCGCAGAUCAGCAACGCUGCGGUGAAUACGUUCCCGGGCCUUGUACACACCGCCCGUCACGUCAUGAAAGUCGGUAACACCCGAAGCCGGUGGCCUAACCCCUUG
This 945-nucleotide ribosomal RNA is filed under the name Mycolicibacterium cosmeticum. Its description in RNAcentral is "bacterial SSU rRNA". It matches the Rfam family "Bacterial small subunit ribosomal RNA", at positions 504 to 1445 of the family's 1533-position model. Lineage: Bacteria; Bacillati; Actinomycetota; Actinomycetes; Mycobacteriales; Mycobacteriaceae. The record is from RNAcentral.